GAAGAAGAAAAAGAAGAAAGUAUUGUCACUGUUCAGCCUUUUCAAGAUGAGUCACCCAGCAGAUAUGCUGACUCUAGGUGACCUCUACCGGCAGCAUAUCCCCCAACAGAAGGAGACUCCCAGGCUUGGCAUUAAUACCUGCCAGGCACUGAGGACAUAAAAAUGAACAUGCCAUAACUUAGUCUUCAAGGUGUGCAGCUCAGCAAAGGAUGUGGAGAUACAGAGAAACAUCUCAGGUACAAGGGUCAGAGCUUCCAGAGUGGGAUCCUCAGUGUGAUGCAGCCCAGAGAAGGGGUCCUGGGAGAACAGUCCAAGUCUGAGGGGCUGAGGGAGGCUUAAAAAUCAAAGUGGCAUUGGAGUUGGGUCUGGAAAGAUGGCCAAGGCCAGGAAGGACAAGACUUGCAGAAUUAUGGAGAUGUAAG
Molecule: long non-coding RNA, 422 nt
Filed under: Homo sapiens (human)
Lineage: Eukaryota; Metazoa; Chordata; Mammalia; Primates; Hominidae
Description: non-protein coding lnc-GPR26-5:1
Source: RNAcentral